This is a small nucleolar RNA of Amphilophus citrinellus (Midas cichlid), 141 nucleotides long. The record is from Ensembl. Lineage: Eukaryota; Metazoa; Chordata; Actinopteri; Cichliformes; Cichlidae.
GUAUAAUGAUGAAACCCAUGCGUGUCAGCUGAUACUGUAAGCCCCUGGUGUGCUGUUGCUUUGGUUGGCGUUCUGCUGGCCUGAGUCUUCAGGACAACAGGGACCCAGAAGCAUGAUCAUACAUACACAACUUCUGAAUAC